This 365-nucleotide long non-coding RNA is filed under the name Mytilus galloprovincialis (Mediterranean mussel). Lineage: Eukaryota; Metazoa; Mollusca; Bivalvia; Mytilida; Mytilidae. The record is from RNAcentral.
CUUAAGCUGAAUUAGAUCUUGUGAACACACUAUGUGUGGUCUUGUCUUUUAAAGUUGAUCAUAUUCCUUUAUUUCGUUAUCUAAAAUGACAAAAAAUCUAGAUUUAGAUUUAUGUAAAAUAUACUGUUACAUUGGAACUCUCAAAACCGGCGCCUGUCGGACCACGGAAAACGGUCGGGGGUGUGCUGGGUUUGUUAAAAUUGAAAAUUAUGAAGAGUUAACCCUUAAUAUGUUGGUUUGAUUAAAUAUGAAAACGCAUUUUACAUUAAUCAAAAUAUAUGUUCUCCUCUGUUGAUUUUAGUUUUGUAUACUAUUUAUGUUUGUGGCUUAUCUCUGAACUUAGCUGUGUAUGCCAUCAUUUUUUU